GAUGAACGCUGGCGGCGUGCUUAACACAUGCAAGUCGAACGAUGAAGCCCAGCUUGCUGGGUGGAUUAGUGGCGAACGGGUGAGUAACACGUGAGUAACCUGCCCUUCACUCUGGGAUAAGCCUGGGAAACUGGGUCUAAUACCGGAUAGGAGCGCCUACCGCAUGGUGGGUGUUGGAAAGAUUGAUCGGUUUUGGAUAGACUCGCGGCCUAUCAGCUUGUUGGUGAGGUAAUGGCUCACCAAGGCGACGACGGGUCGCCGGCCUGAGAGGGUGACCGGCCACAAUGGGACUGAGACACGGACCAGAAUGCUACGGGAGGCAGCAGUGGGGAAUAUUGCACAAUGGGCGAAAGCCUGAUGCAGCGACGCCGCGUGAGGGAUGACGGCCUUCGGGUUGUAAACCUCUUUCAGUAGGGAAGAAGCGAAAGUGACGGUACCUGCAGAAGAAGCACCGGCUAACUACGUG
Molecule: ribosomal RNA, 466 nt
Filed under: uncultured bacterium
Lineage: Bacteria
Description: partial 16S ribosomal RNA
Rfam family: Bacterial small subunit ribosomal RNA
Source: RNAcentral